AUUGAACUCAAUUCUUCCAUCACCAACACCAGAGCCUAAAAAUGGGACAACUUGACUAGUAGAACCAUUCCUAUCUCCAUUUUCCCAUUGGAUCACAAUAGCACGAACCGACUUCAAUGACUGCGAGGGAGGCCAAGGUUUGAUCUCCUGAAUAUGAAUUAGAUAAUCUACUUGAACUGAGGGACCUUUCCUAGUUUUCGCCCUCAGUCCCGAAACCAUGAUUUCCGAUACACAAAUGUAAAAUGGAAUUCUAACAAAGCCUGCAAUGGUUAGGAGGAGAGUAGAACAUUGCAGUGGUUGCCGACACACAGCCUAGAGGAAGUGUGAGAAGAAUGUUUUAUUCCAAUUG
Molecule: unclassified non-coding RNA, 349 nt
Filed under: Hevea brasiliensis (rubber tree)
Lineage: Eukaryota; Viridiplantae; Streptophyta; Magnoliopsida; Malpighiales; Euphorbiaceae
Source: RNAcentral